GCCUGGGUGGCUCAGUCGGUUGAGCAUCCGACUUCAGCUCAGGUCAUGAUCUCGCGGUUUGUGGGUUCAAGCCCCGCGUCGGGCU
Molecule: transfer RNA, 85 nt
Filed under: Felis catus (domestic cat)
Lineage: Eukaryota; Metazoa; Chordata; Mammalia; Carnivora; Felidae
Rfam family: tRNA
About the family: Transfer RNA (tRNA) molecules are approximately 80 nucleotides in length. Their secondary structure includes four short double-helical elements and three loops (D, anti-codon, and T loops).
Source: Rfam by way of RNAcentral